CCCCCCCGUUUGGUCUGGUUCGUCUGCUCUCCUGGUGUUUUUCCCUUGCGAGUUGUGUUUUAUUCUGAUAGAUAUGAAGCAUUAAAUAUGAAUGGAAAUUUCAAAGGAAAAAGGACAACCCUUGUAAGCUGAUGUGACAUGUCCUCUGCUGUUGUACAGUGAGUGUGUGUGUGUGUGUGUGUGUGUGUGUGUGUGUGAGAGCGAGAACUGUAGGGGGCAGUAGUGUGCGCUGACUGCGGGGUGCUAAAAUGACUUGUAAAAAAAAAAGAGAAGCUGGACUCAGAGGAGCCACAGCAAAAACACACACACACACAGUCAUCAGUGCAGUUUGGGAUUGCCUCGAAGAGGAGAAGAAAACCAAGAAAACCUGCACCUCCCACCUGAGAGAGACACACACACACACACACACACACACACACACACACACACACACAAACACACGGGCUGACACACACACAAACAAACACACGGGCUGGCGCACACACACACACACACACACAUGGGCUGUCACACCAUGCUGUCAACAUGAAGAGCCUGUCUCAGGAUGUGGCUGUAGCCUACUCCUCUCCAGAGAAAGAGGCAGAGUGUGUGUGUUUAACUGCAACCUGUUUCAACUCUUUCUGUCCAGUCUGUCUGUGUGUGUGUUUUACAGAUGAUCUACACUCUGUUCUCUGUCCCUACAGUUUAGCAUGUGUAUGUGCGUGUGUUUGAGGUCUGUUCCUUUCUGUCUGCAGUAAGAGUGUGUGUGUGUGUGUGUGUGUGUGAGGACCUGCGCCUCUUUUUCUUUGCAUUAAGAGUGUGUGUUUGUUUGAGGUGCUGAGCUCCUCUCCGCUCUGGCAUGGGGCUGGAGCAGUUCUUACUUGAAAAAGCCCAUUUCAGCCGAGUGUGUGUGUGUGUGUGUGUAGGCCAGACCUGAAGGCAUGAAAAGCACUGAUGAAGAGCCUGUGUGAGUGUGUGUGUGUGUGUGUGUGUGUGUGUUCUUUAAGCUAGAGCAAGUGUGUAGUGGUUUGCAUGUUUGUCUUUCGGAGACUCGCAGAUGGUUCAGCCAGUGUAGGUGCCUGUGUGUGUGUGUGUGUGUGUGAGCAGUGGUGUUCUCAUUCUGAUCUUAGCUCUUCACCAAUGCAGAUGUCUUGGUUUUCAGCUUUUGUUUGUUUUACUUGUACAAAAAUAUCCGAUUGUAAAAAAAAAAAAAAAAGAAAAGAAAAAAAAGAAGGGAUCACAGCUGAGAUCACCCCUGAUUUACUUUGGAUGGGAAGAAAUCUUGAAUGCUCCAUCACUGAGUAUUGUUUAUGUUGUUUUUUUUGUCCCUAAAGAAGUUUUCUACUUUAAAACUUAAUCUGGUUCAUCUAUCACAAGGUUGUCUCUGCGCCCCGCCACCACCUCCUCUCAGACACUGACUGUGAGGAAGUGUCAGGAUCUGUCACCUAACUGUUUCCGUGACGACAUAUCUGGAAAUGCCUUCAACAGUCACUUCAGUGCAUCUUUUUUUUUUUUUUUUUUUUUACGCGAGGGAAAAUGACUGACUGCCUUAAGUAUCAUGAUGCUCUUCUCUUCUCUCCUGCCACCCUCCCCCUCCAAUCAUCAGUGACUUUACCCAGGUGGGCAUCUGUGCCAGCAUGGGCAGGAGCAGGUGGGCAUCUGUGCCAGCUUGGGCAGGAGCAGCUGGACACUGGUCUGGGCUUUAGCCAGCAUGGACAGAAACAGGCGGGGACACUGGUCUGAUUUUGGGGAGUGUUUGCUGGUCCGUUCGCUGGGAUGUGGUGAUGGAGUGGGUGAGGGGUGGAGGAACCUGAUGUUGGGGUGACGUGUCCGUGUCUGUGUCUGUGAGGGGAACAGGAGAGGAGCCCUGAGGAACUUGUGACUGACUGCUCUCAUUAAUCAUUGUUUACCCAAGCAAUGGCUCUCUCCUGCGACCAGACCCGCUACAGCAGCAUCUGAGCGCGCUCAGCAGGACUCAAGCUGUUCUAGUGGUUUUAAGUGACCAUGAAGGAGCUGGCCUGUCCAGCAGGACCUGUGCAGUUUAAAGGCAAGGACUGCUCCUACCCGGAUGGGAUGGGAUGGGAUGGGAUGGGAUGGGACUACUCCUGCCCUGAUGGGGUUAGUGGGGGGUGGGGGACCAAAGCUGGGUCCAGCCCGUGGCAUUGGUAACACUGUUUCUGACAUGUCUCUGUCUCUGUCCCUCUCCCUUUCUCUCUCUCUCUCUCUCUCUCCGAAGGCGUUCUCUCCAUCAUUUAUGUGCUCUCUCCCUCUCUCUGAGGGCGUUCUCUCCAUCAUUUAUGUGCUCUGUCGCUGUGGCAGUGACGAAACUGAGAUUAUCUGUUGAAGGUUCAAGUGCAAUGGAACACCAAAGACCCAGUGUUAUGUGCAUUCAAAGAGAGGUCAAUAAACCCAGGGGCUGAGUGUAGAGGCUGCUUAUGUACGUUAUUUUAGACAGCUGUUUGUGUUAAUAAACAAGUCAAGUCACACCAUCAGUCAGCUUUCUGUGUUAAUAAACAAGUCAACUCACACUAUCAGUCAGCUUUCUGUGUUAAUAAACAAGUCAACUCACACUAUCAGUCAGCUUUCUGUGUUAAUAAACAAGUCAACUCACA
Long non-coding RNA from Clupea harengus (Atlantic herring), 2591 nucleotides. The record is from Ensembl. Lineage: Eukaryota; Metazoa; Chordata; Actinopteri; Clupeiformes; Clupeidae.